CCCUCUCCAAGCGCGCAUUCCCUCGAUCUGCUCGCCUCCGGUAAAGCGGCCGCCGUUCACCCUCUCUAUCAACGUGCCCUGCUUGAGUUGCUUCCGGCGGUCCGACUCCAUCGCCAGCAGGCCAUCUAGGGUUCGCCGUCUGGUAGGUUCCCUCCACCGGCCGGCCGCCAGGCCCUCCGUCUCUCCGGCAGACGGCACCAAGAAGGCAAGAGCCGCCACCGCACGCACGCAGCCUGUGUAUGUGAAAGACUUUUUUUUUUUGCCCUCUGAUCCGUGAUGGUCCUGGGCAUCAGAGUUCAAAUUAAUACUUAAAUCAAGGUGGAUUCUGUAGCACAGGAGGCUGCAGAGGCGAGCAGGUGAGAGCUGCUGAUUUUAGCAGUUACAAGUUGUUACCUAUCGUUUUUUAUGUGAUUUCGUUCAAAUUUAAGGAUUGACAAAAUUUAAGGAUUGACAAGUCAUUAUAAUUUCGAGUCCAUCAUGAGCUAUUGUUAGGUGAAAAUAACAAAGUGAAAAGGUUCGAGAAAUCAGACUUGGUUUUGGCCUGAAGCUCAACACUAAAAUAUGCCAUCAACUGACACAGUUACUCCAUGAAUGUGCUUGGAUAGUCAACGUAGUUGUACUUUUUAAUCUUUAGAUUGUCAUCUCUACUUGAGAAAAAGGGGAAGUGGCUUAUAGGUCAAAACCACAGAUCCAAUGCUAAGCAUUUAUUAUGUAUACUGCGGUAUAUAAAUUUCUCAAAUUCGGUUGCUGCAUAUUUGGUGUUCUUAUAUAAUGAUAUCCAACUGACAAUGUUAUGCUUACAUUUACUUUAGGAUGUGAGAGUUUGGCACAAAAGUUUGUCCAAUUUAACCGGCAAUGAGCAUCUGCUUUAAUUUGAUUCUGCAUUAAUGAAGUUCGGAAACUGACAUGCCUCUGAGAGACUGAUACUUCUGGGUUGCUGCAUCGGUGUGGGCCGCGACGGCGUGGUGGCAGUCCACGGUGGUGGUGCGGGGCGGUUCGUUGCGACGGUGGGACAUGCUCCGGCGUCUGGCCAUUGGCGAGCUGCUCGUGUGGAUGCCCCUUGGUCCUCUAGCGGCAACAGGAUGUGGUCUUUCCGGCGCCUCGCGUCGUUGGGCGAGUGUCCAGUUCCUACCAGAUGCAGAUCCAGGCCGGGAGCUGUGGUUGGGCGUUGCAGGGUGCGACUUUGGAGAGGUGACGGGUGGUGCCGAUGCAGUCGGGCUGCCUGUUACCGGCAGGGGUGCGGACAUCGACUUGGUCCGCUCCCGCUUCACCUCUUCUCCGACCUGCUGGCUCCCCGAUCGAUCUGGUUGUUUUGGUCGCUGCGGCCUUGUUGCCGGUCGGUGCAUCUCAUGCAGCGAUGGAGGAUCUAUGGUGUGUCUUGUUACCUGGGCGGCGGCCCGGGUGGUAGGUGCUGCGGUGCUCGUGGGCUGACCUUGUGGCUCAGGUGCGGGCGGUUAGCGACCAUGGCCGUGUGGGCGGUGUGGUGGCUGGCGUUUUGACGAUCUGUUGUGGUGAAGACGGAGUUUGCUGCCGGGGUGAAAACCCUGUGGCUUGGCCAGGCCGAUGGAGGCGGCGCCAGUGGACGUCGUCAUCUUCCUGAAGUCUUCGUUGUGGUUACUCCUUUCCCUUUGUCAUGCUCCGGAUGAAAAUCUAGAUCUUUGGAUCGGCCGGUGGCGGCGUUUUGUUCUGUCCUUCUUGAAGGCACUGUCUUGGAGCUCUCAGUUCAUCGUCAUUCAACUUCACCUCUUCGCGGGUUCUCCCGGAAGAGCUCCGGUGGCUCUUUAGCGUCUACUUCAUGUCCUUCGGGGUGUUGUUGUUGUAGGCCUUUGGCACCUAUGUAUCCGGCCUAGGGUGAGUGUGUGUUCGUGUGUUGUGUUGUGGGUUGUAUUGAUCGGUUGUUGGUUGUUGCUUUAUAUAUAAAGCCGGACGAAAGCCUUUUUCGGUAAUGUGUAUUUUGUUAUCAAAAGAUGCUGAUGGAUGCAGAAAGAAAGGGAACCAAAGGCUUUUUCUUUGAAGUUCAUCUUAGAAAUCAUGUUAUCUGUCAAAGUAUAAUACAUUCAAUGGCUUACUUGCUGUUUUUAUAGGUGCUUCUUGCUGAACGAGCCGAGUGGAUGUGCUCUUUCCUAAGGCCAUAAUCUGUUCAGGUAGCUGCUCUUUCUAAAGGUGAAUGGCAUGCUUUUUUUUAUAGCUCUUUCAUGCUUAAUGAAUUUUUCACAUGGUCUAUUCCCUAAGGUCAAAAUGUGUUCAGGUAACUUCUCUUGGAAAAGGUAUAUUCAUGCUUCGUUCUGUCAUCUUUGCUGUUGAGUUUAGAUUGAAUAGCCAUGUUCACCCUGCUUGAGUGAUUAACAUUUAAGACUAUGUCCUACUGUUUUUUCAAGACUAUUUAUUUCCUCAUUUGCUGUUCCUCUAGUUAAUAUUGGAGCUUUACCUCAAAUAAAAAAAAUAUCCAUACCAAAAUGAUGCUAAAUAAACUGAAGUUCCCCAAUAGAACGACAACUAAAAGUAAUAAAUAUAGUUGAAACCUUUAAACACCAUAAAUAGAAGCAACAUUCUAGUAAAAAGAAAUAGCUGAACAAAAUACAUGCAUUUCAGACCGAUAGAUGUGCCAACUCCUACAUGUUUCUUAUCUUUCAAAUGUGUAUGCAUAGAUUUUUGUCGCAUUUCAAAUGUGAACAUAUUCCGACAGAUGAUUUUAAUUUUCACUAAAUUACCCAGUGUGCAGGUGUACGGGUUGAUGACUAGUUUAUAAAUAAUGAUAUUUUUUAGUUCAGAUAGCCUUUAGCAUCCAGCAUUUAAUUUGCAUACUUGUGUCUUUUUAAGCAAUAGUUGUAUUUUUGAAAUUAUUGUUUAUUUUUUAGGAAAUUAUUCACUAAGUGACUUAGAAUUCCAGUAAGAGAUCAAAUGAACUAUAAGAUGCAAGAAAGAAAUUAUUUAUUAUAUUAUUUUAUAUCUUUUGAUCUUUGUGCUGUUACACGAUCCAAACCAGAACCAUAAAAUUUGCUGAAGCAAAUAAAAGUAGCAUAGACAUUAGAAGUAACUAGAAUUAUUACAUGGAAGCGACAUCAGAGCAUUCUGCUGUCAUAGCCGCAAGAAGCCUUGGCAUUGGGGGCAUAUCGAGCUCCUUUACACCCUCAAGAACUCGGACCACUUCACCCAUCGUUGGCCGGUCCAACUCAUUAUCCUGGAUACACCAACAUGCUACAUUGCAAACUCUUUCAACCUCAUCCAAGCUGAAGUCGCCAUAUAAUUGUGGAUCCACCAAGCUCUGCACAUCUCCCUCGUGAAGCUUGUUGAUGGCUUGCACAGGGAAAUAAGCGACAUGGUCGCUGCCGCUAGUGUGUACCACAGAUGCAUUCCUUCUUCCUGAUAUGAUUUCCAUCAGUACCAUGCCAAAACUGUAAACAUCGACUUUUGAUGUAAUAGCAACCCCGCUAAGCCACUCCGGGGCAAGAUACCCCAUUGUACCCCUGAAUGUAGUUAGAACCCGGCUAAAAUCCCUUCCUAUGACCGAUGCCAAUCCAAAGUCCGCAAUUUUCGGGACAAAUGCUUCAUUGAGGAGUACAUUUUCUGGCUUGAUAUCACAGUGUAUGAUGCAUUCGUGGCAACUCUGAUGCAAGUAGGACAAACCUCUAGCAACUCCGAUGGCUAUUUGAUAUCUGGUGCUCCAGUCGAGGACUGUACCAUUGCUCUCGAACAGAUAGGAAUCGAGAGAACCAUUGCACAUGUGUUCAUAUACAAGUAGCCUCUUCACCAUGACAGCAGAAACCAACCAAUUUCACCUGGUUGAUGUGCUGGAUCAGUCCAAGUGCACUUACCUCUGCCCUGAAUUGCUUCUCUCCCUGACUCGCACCUUCAAGCCUUUUCACUGUUACACUAGUCUGGUCACUUAAAGCUCCCUUGAAUACAGUACCAAAACCUCCGGCUCCCAGCUUCUCUGUGAAGUUUUUUGUAGCACGGCCCAAGUUGGCGUAUCCAAAGGCAACAACGCCAACACUACCUUCAUUGGUGGCAUUUGAGGACACACCACACCAGCUGAAUCUGUUCCUUGAGAUCACUAGUAGCAGCAUGAGCAUUAGCAACCCAAAACCGAUAACGCUUGCAGCAAUAACAACUCCGGUUAGUACUGGUUUUCUUUUAUCUCUUGUGGAACUUGGGAAAUCUCUGGCGGCAAGGCGAAUGUACAGAGUAUAUUCAGAGCGGAUCUCGAUGCCAUCAUCCUUGUUUACACUGAACAACUCCCCAUGCCAAACAGAGCAUUUGCUGUCUUCGUAGGAGUAAGCAGUGCAGGAGCAGUUGCUGAGACAGGCCGAUUCGCAUUCGCCCCGAGUUGCAGGAGCAUCCUGUGAGCUCCGGGGGCCGUAGGGCAAUGUGACACGAGCUAUGGGGUGGAACACGUCUGUCGAACUCCUGUUGCCAUUGCAAUCCAGCGGAGUGCGUCUGGAGCACCCUCCUGUCCGAUCACCCAGCUCCCAAUCCUGAGGCGACGUCCUGGAGAAGCUCUCCAUGCACUCGCAGGGCGGCUGCGCGCUGCCGGUGCAGACGGUGAACGGUCCGCAGGUGGCGUAUGGGCGGCAGAGAUCGAUGGGCUGGACGUAGAUGGUCUGCCAUGCCUGGUUGGCCUGCGACCACACGUUCAGCUUGGUCUGACCAGACGUGUCGAGGGAGAGGAACGUGGAGGAGGCCUCGUCCGGUGAGGUGUACAUGUAGUACUCCUCCUCGCUGUUGUCCACGGAUUCCGGGACGACCAACCCUCUGGUCUGUGGGUUUAUCUUCAGCAGCGCUCGGAGUGCUGGCAUCUGCAUCGGCGACUCUUCGGGCGACCACGACCAGUACACUUGGGAAGGGUAGCCUCGGUGCCCCACCAUCACCAUCCUGGUGCCAUUGGUUUCCAGCCCCACGCUGAAGGAGCCGAGAUCCGGGUCGACCCGGCUCUUCCACGAGAUGCCGACGCGGUUCAGGCCGGUGACCUUGUUCCAGCCGAUCUUGGCGCCGGGGAGCGCCACGUCGGUUGGGUCGUCGAAGCUCUGCCACAGCACCUCACUUGACGGGCUUUCUAUGACGAGGUUUCCACUGCCCAAAAGGAUGGCCUUGCCGCUGCUGCUGGUGGAGGUGGUGUUGGUUUUGUUACUGCUGGUGAUGUGGCUGGACCAGACGACGGACUGGGUGGCGUUGUUUAAGAUGACAAGGUUGCCAUCUUCUGAAAUUUGGAGCUGUGUUGCUCUCAGGUCGAGUCCGGCGAUCGGCCUCUCCGGGUUGGCGACCCAGACCGGGGUAAUGACAUUGAUCUUAUUGAACCAUAUGGCAAGGUACCAACCGGGAGAGGUAGAUGACUUACUAACGUUGCCGGCGCCGGGCUGGAAGAAGCCAAGCGCGAACUUGCCGGUGCUGGAAACGAGCUUGUCGCCGACGGCAAAUGACUGGCCUGGCGCCAGAGUAUCGUUUUCUGUGGCUGCGGUAGGAGGAAUAGUUUGCACGGAGAUGAGGAGGAGGAGGCUGAGGAACACGUGGAGAGUAGCCAUGGCUGCUCUGCACGUAUGUCUGCUUGCUCGGCCUCGGCUCUGCUAUUCAACUAAGGAGGCCUAGGACUACAGGAGAGGCAACGUGAGGGAAGACAAGGCAGGCGAAUAGGCGGCGACGCCGCUGCAAGCGGGUCAACUUAACCCAGCUGCUGCCACGAGAAAAAUCAUGCAAACUUUUUUCAGCAUUCUAUACAUGUAUGCAUUUUUAAUACGAAAUNNNNNNNNNNNNNNNNNNNNNNNNNNNNNNNNNNNNNNNNNNNNNNNNNNNNNNNNNNNNNNNNNNNNNNNNNNNNNNNNNNNNNNNNNNNNNNNNNNNNNNNNNNNNNNNNNNNNNNNNNNNNNNNNNNNNNNNNNNNNNNNNNNNNNNNNNNNNNNNNNNNNNNNNNNNNNNNNNNNNNNNNNNNNNNNNNNNNNNNNNNNNNNUUGUUGUAUACAUGUUGUGUUGUCACAUUACCUCAUUCAACUUGUUGAACCACUUUGCAGGGACCACAUCUCAUCUGAUUCAAAGAGAUAAGCGCAUGUGGUAGACACCGCAGCAAGUUGAAGAACCAACACUAGCAAGUAGCAACAUGUGAAGAAGAAACAGUAUAUGGCACUCUGAACACUUAACUGUUCAAGGCAUCAUUACAUCCACUCCGAACCGCUGACCUUUCUCGAAUGUCUUAUUUCUCCAUGAAGUUAUGGGGAUAAUACCAUUUCAUUCAUGUACCGACGACGACCUUAUUUGUUAGUAUGCCCAUAGCUGUUUCCUUUUCUUUUUGAAAAACAAGGUAUAUACAGAGCAGAGCAAGAUUAUUUCAUGCAGUUAGCCAUUGGUCUGUCUGAAUGGUGAGCUAUUUCAGAAACAAUGAACAAUGGUAGAGCACACCGUGUCAAACUCUUAGUAUCAUGUUGCUGUUGCCGAAUGCUGAUUGAUUCUUGACAGCAGUGGCCACUUGACCACUUGUACUGGGUGCAUGCGCUGUAGCACGCAAUAGAUGAGCAUUUUGAUGCACUAUAACAUGUAGUGGGUCUGGCUUGGCCAAUCCCAGGGCCUGCAACGAAGCUUCGUCCUUGGAAGUUUAUUUCCUUGGUCAACAAUUGCAAGCCACAGACAACUGAACCUCAUGCUUCAAGGACCAUCUCGUCCCGUUCAAAUCCAUCCAUCCCAUGGUCACCAGGCAAAAGCAUCUCAUUUCCACGCCUUCCCGGUUUUCUCAUUCCAUACCUUUUUCUUUUUCUUUUAAGAAACUCUCAUUCCAUAGCUACAUGCGUGUUUUUUUUUGAGCUACAUGCAUGCUACAUAGUUCUUUUCUUUAGGGGAAACAUACUCACUUUAUUGCUUGAAUAAAAGGUUUAUAGGAAUUACAUUAAUGCCAUGUGGAUUCAAAAACCACACAUGACGCCCUUGAGAUAGAGAAAGAGUAUGUUUCGCUAAGCCAUGAGCCUCCAUAUUUGAACAGCGCCCUUCAUGAGCAAAAGAGCAAGAAGUAAAAGCUAAAGCUCGUUGGUUGAUCUCAUGGAGUAUGGUCGCAUUCGGUCCUUCAGAUCCAUUCGUCACGUCACUUACCACACCCUUACAAUUAGUCG
RNAcentral lists this long non-coding RNA (7088 nucleotides) under Triticum aestivum (bread wheat). RNAcentral's name for it is "long non-coding RNA (TAES_LNC018228)". The record is from RNAcentral. Lineage: Eukaryota; Viridiplantae; Streptophyta; Magnoliopsida; Poales; Poaceae.